AUAUAUUUAUUACCAUGCCCUAAUAACCUGAUAAUGAUUCUGUGUUUAUUUAUUCAUAUUGCUUGUUAGGCUUAAAUUCUUGCGUAGCGUAGGGUGUGGGCAUAUUAGUAUAUUCCUCUGGUAUAUUACUCACAGGUCCAAGUGUAUAUCAUUAAUACGGGGAAGCCUUUCUCCUCUCUCUCUCUCUCUAAACCAUUUUUUAAAGUUUCUCUCUCAGCCUUUCCGUCUCACCUUCACCACCACAAAUUCCCAUGGAUGUUGCUUACCACUUACCAGGCAAAUUUUGUGCAAAAGCUAGCUUCUUGCUUAAUAGAAAGAGAUGCAGCUAGAAAACAUAAUUGGAAGAUGCUUAUAAUGAGUAUUAGCUGGUACAUAGUCACUCUUUUGGCUGGUAUUACCAGUUAGAUCUGUAUCUUAGACUCAGGACGUGAUCAGUUCAGCCAAAUCAAAUCUGGUAUGCAACAGUUACUGCUUUACUACACAAACUGUGAUCUUGUGCGUCUCACCUAGCCAUAUGGUCUGUAAUCUUUUACGAAUCCAUUUGAAAAAGACAGAGUUGUAUAGAACAUGAACAUAUGAACCAUUGAAAAUUGAAAAAGAAAUAAUCCACAUGCAUAUCUACAUGAACAUGAACAUACGAACCAUUGAAAGUUGGUCCAGAAACUGGGAUUCAACACUCUCUGCGCUCCAUUUAAUCAACUUAUUAUUGGAUUAAUAAUUGAGUGGUUGGUAAAAGUAGAACAUUUCUCAUCAAACAUUCAUCUCAAAUUAUUUAAGAUCUCUUGUAAUUGCACACUGCAUCAAUAUACCAAACAUUCUCUCCCUAUUUCAGGGAGCACAACAUUUUGUGAACAAAAGUAAUCUUUGACCUUUUCAUAAAUACAAGGAUGCAAGUACAGUGAAAAAACGCGUAUUGGACCACACUUAGUUGACAUUGAACAGAUGCAACUAAAAGGGCAAGAGUAU
Molecule: long non-coding RNA, 966 nt
Organism: Cornus florida
Lineage: Eukaryota; Viridiplantae; Streptophyta; Magnoliopsida; Cornales; Cornaceae
Exons: 2
Source: RefSeq, a predicted model, not a curated record